CUAGGGAAGAGCCACAGUUCAAUGGUAGUGCAUCUGCUUUGCAUGCAGAAGGUUGCUGGUUCAAUCCUCAGCAUCUCUAGG
Molecule: non-coding RNA, 81 nt
Organism: Podarcis lilfordi (Lilford's wall lizard)
Lineage: Eukaryota; Metazoa; Chordata; Lepidosauria; Squamata; Lacertidae
Source: the annotation of a GenBank genome assembly